RNAcentral lists this non-coding RNA (30 nucleotides) under Rattus norvegicus (Norway rat). The record is from RNAcentral. Lineage: Eukaryota; Metazoa; Chordata; Mammalia; Rodentia; Muridae.
UCCAUCUGUCUCUAGAAGUACCUGGUGCAA